UACGUAGGCGGAAAAUUAAGUCAGUAGUGAAAUCCUGCAGCUUAACUGUAGAACUGUUAUUGAUACUGGUUUUCUUGAAUAUAGUUGAGGUAGGCGGAAUGUGUAAUGUAGCGGUGAAAUGCUUAGAUAUUACACAGAACACCGAUUGCGAAGGCAGCUUACUAAGCUAUGAUUGACGCUGAGGUACGAAAGCGUGGGGAGCGAACAGGAUUAGAUACCCUGGUAGUCCC
RNAcentral lists this ribosomal RNA (230 nucleotides) under uncultured bacterium. Its description in RNAcentral is "partial 16S ribosomal RNA". It matches the Rfam family "Bacterial small subunit ribosomal RNA", at positions 568 to 797 of the family's 1533-position model. The record is from RNAcentral.